CCCUUAGAUGUUCUGGGCUGCACGCGCGCUACACUGAUGCGUUCAACGAGCAUAUUUUAACCUUGCCCGAUAGGGUUGGGUAAUCUUUUGAACACGCAUCGUGAUGGGGAUAGAUUAUUGUAAUUAUUAAUCUUCAACGAGGAAUUCCUAGUAAUGGUGAAUCAUCAGUUCAUCAUGAUUACGUCCCUGCCCUUUGUACACACCGCCCGUCGCUCCUACCGAUUGAAUGAUCCGAUGAAUAUCAUGGAUUGAGGAUGCAAGCAGGUUCGCCUGUCUUCAUCUUCGAGAAGUGAAGUAAAUCUUAUCAUUUAGAGGAAGGAGAAGUCGUAACA
This 332-nucleotide ribosomal RNA is filed under the name uncultured eukaryote. Its description in RNAcentral is "partial 18S ribosomal RNA". It matches the Rfam family "Eukaryotic small subunit ribosomal RNA", at positions 1470 to 1796 of the family's 1831-position model. The record is from RNAcentral.